RNAcentral lists this ribosomal RNA (492 nucleotides) under uncultured bacterium. Its description in RNAcentral is "partial 16S ribosomal RNA". It matches the Rfam family "Bacterial small subunit ribosomal RNA", at positions 29 to 506 of the family's 1533-position model. The record is from RNAcentral.
AGUGAACGCUGGCGGUAGGCCUAACACAUGCAAGUCGAACGGCAGCACAGUAAGAGCUUGCUCUUACGGGUGGCGGGUGGCGGACGGGUGAGGAAUACAUCGGAAUCUACUUUUUCGUGGGGGAUAACGUAGGGAAACUUACGCUAAUACCGCAUACGACCUACGGGUGAAAGCAGGGGAUCUUCGGACCUUGCGCGAUUGAAUGAGCCGAUGUCGGAUUAGCUAGUUGGCGGGGUAAAGGCCCACCAAGGCGACGAUCCGUAGCUGGUCUGAGAGGAUGAACCGGCACACCGGGAAUGAGACAACGUCCCGACCUCCGAGGGGGGGCAGAGGGGGGGAAAUUGGACAAAUGGGGGCAAGCUUGUCCCAGCCAUACCGGGGGGGGGAAGAAGGCCUUCGGGUUGUAAAGCCCUUUUGUUGGGAAAAAAAAGCAGCAGGUUAAAACCCCGUUGUUCUGAGGGUACCCAAAAAAAAAGCCCCGGCUAACUUCGG